GUCGAACGCUGGCGGCGUGCUUAACACAUGCAAGUCGAACGCGCGGCGGACUGGUGAGUAAUGUAUGGGGAAUGCACGAUAGAGGGGGAUCACUACUGGAAACGGUGGCUAAUACCGCAUACUCCCGGUUAACCCAUAUGGGAUUAGGUAGUAGGUGGGGUAAAGGCUCACCUAUGCGACGAUCUCUAGCUGGUCUGAGAGGAUGGUCAGUCACACUGGGACUUAGACACCUCCCAGACUCCUACGGAGGCAGCGUUGGGGAAUAUUGCACAAUGUGCGCAAGCCUGAUGCAGCCAUGCCGCUUGUAUGAAGAAGGCCGUCGGGUUGUAAAGAACUUUUAGCGGGUAGGCGUUACCCGCGCAAGAAGCACCGGCUAACUCCGUGCCUGCAGCCGCGGUAAUUC
This 403-nucleotide ribosomal RNA is filed under the name uncultured bacterium. Its description in RNAcentral is "partial 16S ribosomal RNA". It matches the Rfam family "Bacterial small subunit ribosomal RNA", at positions 28 to 526 of the family's 1533-position model. The record is from RNAcentral.